This 497-nucleotide ribosomal RNA is filed under the name uncultured bacterium. RNAcentral describes it as "partial 16S ribosomal RNA". It matches the Rfam family "Bacterial small subunit ribosomal RNA", at positions 28 to 507 of the family's 1533-position model. The record is from RNAcentral.
GAUGAACGCUGGCGGCGUGCCUAAUACAUGCAAGUCGAGCGAACAGACGAGGAGCUUGCUCCUCUGACGUUAGCGGCGGACGGGUGAGUAACACGUGGAUAACCUACCUAUAAGACUGGGAUAACUUCGGGAAACCGGAGCUAAUACCGGAUAAUAUAUUGAACCGCAUGGUUCAAUAGUGAAAGACGGUUUUGCUGUCACUUAUAGAUGGAUCCGCGCCGCAUUAGCUAGUUGGUAAGGUAACGGCUUACCAAGGCAACGAUGCGUAGCCGACCUGAGAGGGUGAUCGGCCACACUGGAACUGAGACACGGUCCAGACUCCUACGGGAGGCAGCAGUAGGGAAUCUUCCGCAAUGGGCGAAAGCUUGACGGAGCAACGCCGCGUGAGUGAUGAAGGUCUUCGGAUCGUAAAACUCUGUUAUUAGGUAAGAACAAAUGUGUAAGUAACUAUGCACGUCUUGACGGUACCUAAUCAGAAAGCCACGGCUAACUACGUG